Molecule: ribosomal RNA, 478 nt
Filed under: uncultured bacterium
Lineage: Bacteria
Description: partial 16S ribosomal RNA
Rfam family: Bacterial small subunit ribosomal RNA
Source: RNAcentral
GACGAACGCUGGCGGCGUGCUUAACACAUGCAAGACGAACGGUAAGGCCCUUCGGGGUACACGAGUGGCGAACGGGUGAGUAACACGUGGGUGAUCUGCCCUGCACUUCGGGAUAAGCCUGGGAAACUGGGUCUAAUACCGGAUAGGACCACUGCCUGCAUGGGAGGUGGUGGAAAGCUUGUGCGGUGUGGGAUGGGCCCGCGGCCUAUCAGCUUGUUGGUGGGGUGAUGGCCUACCAAGGCGACGACGGGUAGCCGGCCUGAGAGGGUGACCGGCCACACUGGGACUGUGAUACGGCCCAGACUCCUACGGGAGGCAGCAGUGGGGAAUAUUGCACAAUGGGCGCAAGCCUGAUGCAGCGACGCCGCGUGAGGGAUGACGGCCUUCGGGUUGUAAACCUCUUUCAGCACCGACGAAGCGCAAGUGACGGUAGGUGCAGAAGAAGGACCGGCCAACUACGUGCCAGCCGCCGCGGUAA